Long non-coding RNA from Oncorhynchus tshawytscha (Chinook salmon), 2044 nucleotides. The record is from Ensembl. Lineage: Eukaryota; Metazoa; Chordata; Actinopteri; Salmoniformes; Salmonidae.
AGCAGAUCAGCUCACAGAGCAACAAAUGUGGCCCACACCCAUUCAAGGGAGAGAGAGAGAAAAAAAAACACAUUGCGCAUAGGUCUCCAACUUAACACUCCUGUCAACUUAACAUCAUAACAGUUGCACAAAUUCAUCACGGAAAGGGAGUUGAAAGAAAACGUAUUGCUUGACUUGGACUUGUAUUGACUGUUCAUCAUGGAGGCACCAACAACAGCAGGUACAAUAAGCCACUCGGCAUCGGAAGAGGCCUUCAGCCACAUGGUCAGUCACAUCAUAGAACUCUUCACACAGCCCUCCGUAGCUGAAGAUCUGACAACAACUUCUGCACAUAUGACUGAAACAAUCUCAGACACUUCUGUGGGAGUUCUGACAACAACUUCUGCACAUAUGACUGAAACAACCUCAGAUGCUUUUUUAGUGGGAGCCGCCAUCGUAAAAGGUGUAUCCUUUGAAGUCCUUUUCGUAGGAGUCAUUCUUGUGGUGGUACUGGUGGUGGUACUGGUACUGGUGCUGGUACUGUGUCACAACGGCAAGCAUAAGGGCACUUACCACACCAACGAGGCCGAGUGUGGUGAUUCUGAUUCUGUCGACACGUAUGGUGUUGCCUCUCAAAGCGAACUUGAGAUUUUGAAUGAGGAAGAAUAGAAAGAAGUACACUUCAUUUGAAACAGGACUUUUUCCGAUUCUAAACCGGGGCCAGUUGUCAACUCAAGAUGCCAAAUAUUUUCUACGGAAUUGGUAAUGCCUAUGAUGGUCAUCUAAUUUCAAGGCAACAUUUAUAUGGGGCAUACAACCAUCUCAGCUCUACAGAUUUUGCCACGAAGAGACAGAAUCGUUAGAUCACUUAUUUUUGUAUUGCCCAUAUAUACACUAUAUAUACAAAAUUAUGUGGACACCCAUUAGUGGAUUUGGCUAUUUCAGCCACAUUACAGCCUUAUUUCCCUCAUCAAUCAAUAUAAAGAAACACUUUAAUAAACAAUUAAUAUUCAUUACAUGUGACUAACUUCAAGCUUACAAUUAGUACAGUAGUUAAACCAAUAUCAGAUUGUUGAGGUUUCGAAAAGAUGUAAAAACUAGAGAAAUUUUACAAUCCUUUUUGUCUUCCUUUUAAAAAAAAUGUUUAUACUCAAAAGAUAGUACCUUGUUUGAAUUUCUAUUAUGAGGGUGUUGAGCGAGCUUAAUGCAUAAUAAUGUAUAGCAUUGCUGAAUGUAAUAUCUGUUUUCAAUUUUUUUCUAAAUUGACGUCCAGUAGUAAUCUGAGCUUGUAAAAUGAAAUCAAGGCACAGGCAUCUUUCCUAACGCCAAACUGGAUGUUUUGGUUUUUUUGGCCUGAAGGUACCAAUAACUGAGUAAAGGAAAUGUUACGGCAAGGACCAUAAGAACACACAAAAAUACUUUCAUGAAACUUGAGACAUUUCACCUAUGACAAUACUGGGAACAAAACAGUCAAAAAAAUGUAAAUUCCCCUUCUUCUAAUGCAAGUCUCUGUAACUAAUAUAUUACCAUGUGAUUAAAGAGAAGCGACCUUGUUUUGCCUGAUGAAAACAGUGUCUAAUUAGCAGUAAAACACUUGUUCCAGAGAGGAAGGACUUUUUGUAUCAACAAGGCAACAACAGGGAAGUUUCAAAAGGAAACUGAAGACAGCCGAAUCACACUGCCCCAGCUAGGUGGAAAGGCUUCCAUGUAGUUCAGAGAGGGCAUAUCAACAGGAACGGCCUGAUAAAUGCUCAAAGUAUUAACAUCCCAAAAUACUGUAUCUGUGACUAAAUGUGGUCCAGUUUCUGUUGACGAUAAUGCAUGUCUGUUGUUCUAUCAUGUGAAAGUCCCAUUCGAUUAGCGUUGCGUAUGUAUCAAGCUACACAUUUGAUAAAUUUGCACAGUCAUGGACUAAAUUGUUUUUUUUGUUUUUUCAAAUGAAGAGUUUACUUGUAUACCCAGUCGAAAAAUCGGAUUAUUCAACACAACAUCUGGGUUCAGAAAACCAAGAUAUAGGAGCAAAAGUCUGCACUUCAAUAGUAUGUGUUAAUGAGAUUUAGAAGCU